Molecule: unclassified non-coding RNA, 171 nt
Filed under: Neofitzroyomyces nerii
Lineage: Eukaryota; Fungi; Ascomycota; Lecanoromycetes; Ostropales; Stictidaceae
Description: partial internal transcribed spacer 2
Source: RNAcentral
UCACCCCUCAAGCUAAGCUUGGUAUUGGGUUCUCGCCAUCAAAUUUAUUUGGAGGCGUGCCCGAAAUUUAGCGGCGAUGCAGCCGAACUCCCUAGCGCAGUGACUUUUAUUACAACGCUACAAGGAGCUUUCGACUUUUGUAUCUGCCGGAUAACAACCAAAUUUUUUUAC